RNAcentral lists this ribosomal RNA (372 nucleotides) under uncultured organism. Its description in RNAcentral is "bacterial SSU rRNA". It matches the Rfam family "Bacterial small subunit ribosomal RNA", at positions 526 to 896 of the family's 1533-position model. The record is from RNAcentral.
CAGAGGUCCCGAGCGUUGUUCGGAUUCAUUGGGCGUAAAGGGUGCGUAGGCGGCGGGGCAAGUCUGAUGUGAAAUCCCGGGGCUCAACCCCGGAACUGCAUUGGAUACUGCCUUGCUCGAGUACUGGAGAGGGAACUGGAAUUUACGGUGUAGCAGUGAAAUGCGUAGAGAUCGUAAGGAAGGCCAGUGGCGAAGGCGAGUUCCUGGACAGUUACUGACGCUGAGGCACGAAGGCCAAGGGAGCAAACGGGAUUAGAUACCCCGGUAGUCCUGGCAGUAAACGGUGCACGUUUGGUGUGGGAGGAAUCGACCCCUUCCGUGCCGGAGCUAACGCGUUAAACGUGCCGCCUGGGGAGUACGGUCGCAAGAUUA